Molecule: long non-coding RNA, 907 nt
Filed under: Homo sapiens (human)
Lineage: Eukaryota; Metazoa; Chordata; Mammalia; Primates; Hominidae
Description: non-protein coding lnc-WNT4-1:4
Source: RNAcentral
AUCUAUAUGCAGCAGACAUGGUGCUAGGACUCCACACGUCCUCUCAGUAAAUCCCAGGAGACAGGACCCCAGAGGCAUUGCUCUCAUUCAGUGCUCUCGCCUCCCUCCUGGAUUGCCUAGUCAGGUAAACCUGCCGCAUACAGGUGGGAAGGGCCGUCAUGGGGGUCUGAGAGAGGCCGGUGGGGCCUGAAGGAGAGAGUGCUUGGCUCCACGUGGGAAGAAUUGGGCAGGUGGGAGCAGUUGCAGAGGGCUUGCAGAGGAGGUUGUCAGAGAGGGCGUUCUGGGUGGUUGGGGCAGGGGGCAGGGGGCAGAGGCUUAGAGGCACAGAGCAGCAGGGAGCCUCAUCCUCAGGGAACACUGAGAGUUUGGGGAGGGAGAGUUGUUUUGUGUGGGAGGCAGGGUGGGAGUAGAUGAUGCUGGGGAGGUGGGAGUGAGGGGCCCAGAUCAUGAGGGACCUCGGCGUCCUGGCUCGGUUGAGCAGUUUGGACUUUGUGCUCUGAACAUGUGUUUCAGAGUGAGACAUGGAGAGGGGCUGAUGUAACCACCCCAGCAGGAGUAAGGAGGCUGGAAGGAGGAAACCAGUGAUGAAGGAUUUGCCAUAACCUUGUCCUGGAUGGAGAGCCAUGGCCAAAGUGGGUGGAGAGGAAUGGCCAUGCAAGGCAGCUGUGAUGGAUUCACCUCUGUGCAAGACAGCUAUGACGGAGUUGAUAGAAAGUGUGAGAACAUGGGCCACCCCUCCUUGGAUGUGUAAGUAUUAUAGACAUCCUAGAUAUAAGUAUUACAGACCCCUACCAGGACAGGGAAUUCCAGAGGAAGAACAGGAUUUGAGGGAAAAAGGCGGUAAAUUAAUUUUGAUGUUCAAUAAGCAAGUCAAAGUGCUGCAUUCCAGGCAGUGGGCUGGACACCU